UUAUAUUCAACAACUGUUAACUAUUUGACUCCAUUUAUUCUUGGUGAGUUUUUUAUGUCUGGGUUAGCCCCUUUGUGCGGAGGGUGGAGUGGGCAUUGAAGCUCAAGGGCAUAGCCUACAACUGCAUCGAGGAAACAUCCUCAACAAGAGCGCUCUGCUUCUAUGGGUCAACCCUGUUCACCAAAAAGUCCCUGUCCUCAUCCAUGGAGAGUCCAGAGUAGUCUGCGAGUCCAGGAGGAAUGAAGCCUGUUGACGCCUAAAAUUUCAUUUUAAUUAAUUAGGUUUUACUUUUUAUUUUAUCUUUUUUUCAGAUGAUAAAUAAACAAAAAAAAAAACAGAAAGAAGCAGAAAAGAAGAGAAGCAGCCUCCGCGUGGGCCCUCGGCCCAUCUCCGCCUCAGCCCAGCCCAGCCGGGUCUUCUUCUUCCUCGCGCAGUUGUAGCGCACGCGCAGGGGGCGCGACGCCGGAGCGGAGGGGAGGAGCAGCGACGAUGCACGUGGAGCAGGGGGCAGCUGGCGUCGGAUGGGACGCCGGUUCGGCCGGCGAAGGCCGUGGCAGCCAUCGGUCAAGCUCCGUCGACUGGCCACCCCUCGGCCUAUAAAUAGGCCCUCCAUCCCCGACGAAGAGGACACACACAGAGAUCAUAGGGAGAGAGAGAGAGAGGCCACUGGAGCUCGGGGUCCCCUGAGAGACUUCGGGGAGCUCGAGUGUAGGCCGGCCGUGGUGUGGUGAGCUCGGAGGGGUCCCCGAGAGACUUCGGGGAGCUCGAAGAGCGAACAAGAGAGAGAGAGAAGCUAGAGGAGAUUCGCGUGGGUCUCGCCAUCGUCGCCGCCCCCGUCGCGCCGUUGCCACGAACAGGUAUUGUGACGUCGCCGUCGCCAUCUCCCUCUCCGUCGUCCAAUCAUUGCCGCCGUCGCCGCCGUUGCCGCCGCCGUCGUCGCUACGCCUCAGUCCUCUUCCUCCUCGGCGCCGCGAUUCGGAAACCCUAGGGUUCCCGAUUUUCCAGGUCGCGUCCCCGGGUUGUCGGGUCGGACCCGGAUCGGGAACCGGGUAGGGAUUACGUAAAUCCCGGGGGCGGCAGAGGUCGGGUCGUGGGGUCGGAUCCGGGUCGGGUAGGGUUCCUCGCAGGAACCGGGUCAUCGCUGGAAUUCGGGCCGGAUCCGGGUGGAGUUUUGCCGGGUCGUCGGGUCGGGCUGGAUCCCUCCCAAAACGACGGGCCAUCGGGCCGUUUUGAUAAAUAAAAAAGAAAGAAAGGAAAAAAAAUUGAGUCAGGCCCGCGUUUGGGUCGUCGACCCGGGUCGGACCCAACCCGCAGAUCCGACCCAGGUCGGCUUUUUAUUAUUUUAUGUAAUAUUUUAAUUAAAAAAAGAAAAAUCAAAAAUAAUUUAUUUAAAAAAAAAUAUUAAAAAAUAUUUUAAUUCCAGAAAACCGAAAAAUGUUUUAAAAAUGUUAAAAAAUGUUCUAUUUUCCAAAACCGAAAAAUGUUUUAAAAAUGUUAAAAAAUGUUCUAUUUUCCAAAAAAAUAAAAAAUAUUUUAUUUUCCGAAAAAAUAAAAAAAUAAAAAAAUAUUUCAUAUUUUCCAAAAAAAUGCCAAAAAUCCAAAAAAAAGCCAAAAAUUCAUGAAAAAGCCAAAAAAAAUUCAGAAAAAGCCAAAAAGACUUGUAUUUUUCCAAAAAAUCCCUUUUGUGUCCAAAAAAUUAGAAAAUGACUCAAAAAAUGUUUUUCCUCCCAAAAAUGCAUGGAAAAUCCCUCGAACAUAAAAAAAACCUCAGGGUUUAAACAAGAUUAGGUACCGAAAGGGCAUUAGUGAUUAACUAAUGUAAUCAAGUCCCCGAUCCUAAUUUCUCUGGUUGCGCAGGAGUGAGUAUUUCUCCCGAUACUUCACUUGGGUUUCUAAUCAACCCACCCCAAAUUGAUUAGUGGCGACUCCAUUUUUAAAAUUGAUUUACAGGUUAAAAACUUGAACCAUUAAGUCGUGAAUUGGCGGACUUGGGAGAGUCCGGGCUUAAUAAUUUCAGCCGAGCCAUUAGCCUCCUUAGGCGCUCGUACCCGAUUGCGGGCGCCGAAAAAAAAGAGGUCGCGACAAAGCCCUAUGUCAAUUAUUGCACCUGCUCCUUGCUCGGUGCAGAGAAUAGUUUUGCUUGCCCUUGUUUUCCUUAUGAGUUGAGCUUUGGAUUUGUAUUUAAGAUUCAAGAGUUAAGUAUGGUUCGUAAUAAUGUGGUUUAGUGCGGUUUUUGAGUUACUCUACUCCUGUGUAUGAUUUCACUCUUAUCUUAGAUUGUUGGUUGUGCAAAUUGACAGUUGAAGCUCCCAUUGCAAAUGAG
Molecule: long non-coding RNA, 2323 nt
Filed under: Eucalyptus grandis
Lineage: Eukaryota; Viridiplantae; Streptophyta; Magnoliopsida; Myrtales; Myrtaceae
Description: long non-coding RNA (EGRA_LNC006865)
Source: RNAcentral